This 19497-nucleotide long non-coding RNA is filed under the name Capsicum annuum. Its description in RNAcentral is "long non-coding RNA (CANN_LNC017520)". Lineage: Eukaryota; Viridiplantae; Streptophyta; Magnoliopsida; Solanales; Solanaceae. The record is from RNAcentral.
AACCAUUAGUUCUUCUUCCUUCAGCCCUAGGUGAUAAACUCGGUACCAUGGAUGCUCCAUAUGCUUGCUUUUAUCAGCUUUCAAAAGUAAGACUCUGUAGCUUCUUUCGUUUAUAUUUUUGAAUUGAUUUUUCAGCUGAUUUUUAUUUGAUUUGCUUCUCAAUACCUAUGCUCCCCGGUGGAAUCAAAAUCAACUUUUUGUGCUUCCUUAAAGAAUCUUGUCCACUGAAUAUUGUUAUCAAUUUCGAGUAAUAAUCUUUCCCUUAUUUUUUUCUUUUCUGUACUUCGUCAGUGCUCUAAUGCUUUCAAAAUGACAAAUACGGCUAGUAUGAAGAUAGUGGGAUGCUUCGAACCACAAGUAUUUAGAAAGUAACACAUAUCUCAGGUUUAUCAACUCUGAUCUGACCCUAAGAUCCUUCUCUUUUGCUGCAAGUCCAUUUUAUUGGUUGCUAUAGUUUAGGCUAGUUAGCUUUACACCUUUUUUGUAGCCUUGCAUGGCUUGUAAAUAUUUGCUUAUGGAACUUGCAAGCUUUAGCCUUAUCAGCUCUCACCUUCUCUAUGGCGACACUCUUAAAAAUAAAACUUGUAAUUUGUCACUGUUAAGUAUUUUAUUUCUAGUAACUUUUAGCUGCUGAAAGCACGUAAAUGUGAAAUUCCCUUCAUCUAUUGCAUAAUUAGCUAAUAGUCUGCUAGCUUAUUCCUCUCCCUUAGAAUGUGUUGGCAUAGUCUUUCAUCGGUGUCUAUAUUUUCUCUAUUAUGUCUGAUAUACUCCAUGAAUAGUUUAAAUUCUUGUUUAAAAUCUUCUGCUUGGUUAAUGAGUCUGUCUGAAUAAUCACAUUGCUAUGUUGUGACUAAUUCCAAUGUACUGCUGCCUAUAAAAUAGCUUCUGCUUCUGCUUCUAUAUUUAUGGUAUCAUCAAUAUUAUCUCCCUUAGCAUAUAAUAAAUCCCCUUGAUCAUCCCUCAAACAAAAUGCAUAGGAACUUAUCACUGAAUUACCCCUAGAUGCUCCAUUUGUAUUGUAAUUUAACCAUCCUUGCUGAGGAAAUUCCCACAUAAAUUUAGAAACCUUCCCUCUGGCUCUAUGAUUUUCAAAUUCUCUCAAAAUGUCUGGCCAUGUAUAUGGAAAAUCCUUAUAGGAUCUUAUCACUUUAAGCAAUAUUCUUAGAUUUCUGAUUAUGUUGUGUUGUACUCUAUGCUUUGCAACAUUCUUUCCCUCAUGUUUUGUAGUAUUUCUCCUUUUUCACAAUUCCCAAAUAAUCAUGCUAGGAAUGUCCCGAUAAUAACGUCUAUCCUUUAGACUGACAUUUGAAUUCCACCAAGCCAGAGUUGUUUCCCUAAAGCUCAAUCCAUAAAUGUUAAUACCUGCAAAAGAAGAGAAGUAGGACCAGGUCCUAUUAGCAAUAGGUGAUCUUAGAAACACAAGUGAUAUGAUUUCCUAAUCAGGAUUAAUACAACACCAACACAUAGAUGAUCCUUUCACACCCCAUCUUCUUAUAAAAUCAUCCACUAGAACUUUUCUUUUCCAUAUCUUCCAUAUUAAGAAAGCCAUUUUGAAAGGCAAACCUUUUAUCCACAUCUUCUUGAAAAUUUUGCUACUUUCUUCCUUCUACCUAAUAUAUUGCCAUGCUGAUUUUACAGUAAGCAUUCCACUAGAUUCAAGAAUCCAAUGGGUCUGUCUUCUUCAUCUGCAUGUCUAGGUGACUUUAUUUUUUCUAGACUAUGUAUAUCAAUUUCUUCUGAAAAUAUCUCCUUGAUCAACUCUACAGUCCAACUUCCUUCUCUGACCAAAUCACUAACUUGUUGAUACCUAUCAUCCCAAUCCCUACACUCCUCACUGAUACUAUAUAGUUCCCUCAAGGUUGUCCAAUUAUCACACCAGAUGUUAGAAUUACCCUUCCUAGUUUGCCAUAGAAUUUGGUGUUCAAUUAGAUACCUAGCCUGCAACAUUAUCUUCCAAACUUGUGAUCCUCCUGCACCAUUCUUCCAUAUAAUCAUAUUAGGGUGCUCAUUUUUACAAUAUUUUUUAUGCAUGUAUGCACUCCAAAUAGACUUUUUGGUUCAAAAAUUCCACCACAACUUACAAAAAAGAGCCAUAGACAUAUCCUUCAAUAGUCUAAAUCCCAAACCCCUCCCCCUCCUCAGGCAAGUAUAUAGAAUAUCAUCUUACCUAAUGUCUACCCUUACACCCUAUAUAACUACUCCAAAAAGAUUGAGCCAUUAUUUUCUGAAUUGUAUUAAGAACAUUCAUAGAGGGGUUCAUUACUGAUAGACAAUAGAUUGGUAUACUUUGAAGAACAUGCUUGAUAAGAAUGGCCCUACCUUCAUAAGACAACAAUUUCCCUUUUCAGCUUUGCAGUUUUCCACUAAUUCUGUUCAUGAUAUACUAAUAGUAGUCUUUUUUUUCCUCAUAUGAAAAAUGAUACAUCCUAGGUAUGUAAAAGGAAAAUUUUUUCUUAAAAUACCUGUUGUUAUUUCUUCCAUCACUACACUCUUUGUGAUACUACUUUAUGCAAAUAUAUUGCACUUUUCUCCUUAUUAAUCCUCUUCCAUGAUGCCUUUUCAUACUUUUCUAGAGAUUCUAAUACUGUCUUUAAAGUACUCAAAUCAUCCUUGUACACAUUUAUCAUGUCAUAUGCAAAGGCAAGAUGAUUAAUUCUUGGACUCCCCCUAGGCAUUCCAAACAUUUUAAACUCAUCCUUCAAUAGCAAAAAUGUUAAAGACCUUGACAUCACCUCAGCAGCAAGUAUAAAUAAUAUAGGAGAUAAAGGAUAUCCCUAUUUCAAUCCUUUUGAUGAUCUAAAAAAUCCUUUAGGUUGACCAUUAGAAAGAUUAAGUACCAAUUAUUACUCACUAACCUCUAUACCAAGUCUAUAAUAACUUCUCCAAAUCCCAUUUUUCUCAUCACCUUUGUUAAAUAAAGCCACUCCACCUAUCAUAAGCCUUCAUCAUUGAAUUUCAUAACCAUGUUUGGGGGUUUACCUCUUUUUCCUAUCUCAGAUAUAAUUUCUUGAACCGCCAGUAUAUUUUCUGUUAUGUUUCUCCCUUGAAUAAAACUUGUCUGUUCCUCUGAUAUAAUCUAUGGUAGAAGACUCUUGAUUCUCUCAUGAAUAAUUCUUGAGAAGAUCUUAUUAAUAAAUUACUUAAUGAUAUUGGCCUUAAAUCUGAGAAAGUAUUAACUACUAACUUUUUAGGCUACAUCACUAAGUUAGUAUGAGUAAUAAAUCUUGGCAAUUCAUAACCACAAAAAAACAACUAUCAUAUUAUAUACAUCCUCUCUAAUAAUGUCUCAUGGAUCCUGGCAAAAGGCUCUUGUCAUUCCAUAUGGCCCUCCAGCAUUGUUCCUGUUUAACCUCAUAACUACUGAUUUACCUCUUGCUUGUUGGGAACUUUAAUCAAUUCUUCAUUCUGCUGUGAAGUAACCAUUACUGGUAACUCAUCUAAAACUGAAAACUCCUCAAAAUCCUAAUCUUUUGAGAACUGGCACCUUUUGUUAUAUUAAUCCGAUCUUUCAUCUAAAUUUCCUCAUCAUUUUAAAUUUUAUUCACCUUCAAUUUGUUUCUCCUUCCUCUAACAAUAGUUUCAAAGAAUUUUGUGUUUUUUCACCAUUCUUAAAUUAUUUAAAUCCAGCUUUUUGCUUUUAGAAGUCUUCUUCUCUUCUUAACUGAAUACCUAAAUUUGCCCGAGCAUUAAACAAUUUUGCUCUAUUUGUCCCUGAAUGGUCCUACUCAAAUUGUACCUCCAUUACCUUAAUGAUGUCCUCCAAUGUUGCAAUCUUUUGAAAAAUAUUACCAGACUUUUCUUUACUCCAUUGAGUUAAGGCAUAUUUGGUCUUUUUCAACAUUUGAUGGAACAUAAUGAAUGAAUUUCCUUGAACCUCUAUUGUCCAAUUUUGCUUUAUAGUCUCCAAACAUGAUUUUUCCUUCAACCAGAAAUAUAGAAAUCUAAAAGAUUUGAUGAUUUUCUCAUUAGAAAUACUAAAAUACAACAGCAAAGGAGCAUGAUCUGACCCACUUCUUAUUAAAUGUUCAAGUUCUAAUAUUGGAAAUAGAUUUUGCAUCAUGACAUUCCACAAUACUUUGUCCGGCCUUUUAAAUAUAAAGUCUUCAUCAACUCUUCCAUUCCACCAUGUUUACUUUCUUUGAAUCCUGGAUCCUAUAGAUUGCACAAACUAAUGCAAUGGUUGAAAUUAUCAGUUUCUACAAUAAUAAUAGGUAAACCCCUUAAUUUCUCUUCAUCACAGGUGAUCACAUUGAAAUCACCCCCAAUAAUCCAUAGAUCAUGCAUAGAUUGAGCUAUAUCAGUUAAAGAUUUCCACAAAAUCAAUCUUUCUUGUUGAUUACACUUAGCAUAUACUAAAGUUACCACCACUGAUUGUGCAACUUUAAUGUCAUCUCUUGCACUUCAUCCCUAAUGACUAUGUAAUCAACAAUAGCAUCACAAAAGGCCCAAAUUUUUCUAGAUGAAUUUUCCACUGCAUGUUGCAUUCCUAAUCUUGCUCUGUAAUCCUCUAUGUUAUGACUGUCUUGAAAAGGUUUCAUAAUACCUAUAAAAUAAAAAUGAUAUCUUCUUUGUAAAGUGAUUAAUCUAAUGAAUGUUUUUUGAGUGUUCACGACCUUAUAUUUCAGAUCAAAGCAUUCAUCCUAAUUUAUGCUUUGAAUGACUCCUUGUCUGCAUUGUAGUAGCACUUAUAUUCUUGCCCUUUUUAUACCUUCUCCAUUACAUAUUAGUUGAUCAAUUUCACUUUUGCACAUCCUAAAGAAAUUAUAAAUAAAAAGAAUAUUUUGUUAAUUUACCCCUUAUAAUACUUUCCUGAAACUUUAAAAACUUAUUUUUAUUUUUUUAAAGAUUAUUAAUUAUAGAAAUAAAAUGAAAGAUUUUACUUAAUUUUAUCUUAGCUUAGUAAGAAGAAAAAUAAUUUAGGAUAUUUACUUUUAAUAAGGUGAUCAACUUAUAUGAAAGGAGGGAUCACUCAUUUUAUGGAGGUCUUUUUUGUUUUUUGUGAUUUUCACAUCUUUUUAACCUUUUGAUUUCUCAUUUGAAACAAAAUAUAUAUAAGUGCGACACAAAAAAUCAUUUUUCUUAGAAGAUUGAUCAAUCACAAAUUUGGUUUUAAGAAAACUAAAUAGUUAAAAUAUUACCUCAAACAUAAUCAAAUCACUUACACAUUGUUUAGAUGGUGGUUUUUUAUGGUUUCAUAAUGUACGAUUAUUGUAUAGUAUAGUACAAUACAAUGCUUGAAUGGACUGUAUCAUUCACUGCUGUUUAAUAAUAAUUUUAUUAUUUGAUUUAAUGAUAUGGUACUGUAUCAUAGCCCUAAAUUAUUAUAAAUGUUAAAUUUAUUAAUAAUUGUUAAUAAAAUAAUUUUUUCUGCUAAUCUGUCAUAAAUUAUGUCAUGUAAAUAUAUUAAGUUGUUAAAUUCAUGUAAAUUUUAACAAAAUUAAUACAAGAGUUGAUCAAAAUGAAUGUAAUCGAAUUUAUUUUUUAUAGAAACAAAUUCUAUUUCCUUUUAAUGUUUGAAAUUGACCACCAACGAAAAGUAAAAAAAUUAGGGUGGGGGUUUGGUAAGGGGUGGGGUCAGGGUCAGGGUCAAGGUCAGGAUAGGGGGUGUGAUAAGAAAAAAGUUUUUAUAAAAAAUUUAAAAAAUAAAUAAUAUCUUUUUUGGACGGGGUGGGGUGGGAUGGGGUAGAGGGUUGGGGGUGGAGAGAAGGGGAAGGGGAGGGGUGGCUCAUGGGGUGAGAGGAGGGGUAGAAGUUCGAGUUUAAUAAUAUAUGGUAAAGGAUAAAAUAGGAUUAUAUAAUAUUAAAUAAGGAUAUAAUUGGAAAAAAAAUAAGCAAACCAUGAUAUACCACCAAAUCAGUGGUUCAAUAAAGUGAGUGUUUUCAUGGUUAUCAAACCAUGAAAUUAAACCAUAACAUAUCAUACAUUUUAAGAAAUAAUCAAAACAAACAUGGUUCCCUAAGUAACAAUAACAUACUAUACCAUAGAAAACCACCAUCCAAACCGUGUGUUAAUAUAUUUGGAUAACAAAAGCUUAAGAGGGUGUUUGGAUGAGCCUUUUUUGAGUGACUUAAAAGCUAAAAGUCAAAAGUCAAAAGUACAUAACAACCUACUUUUAAUUUUUUACAUAUUUUUUUUACUUUUUAAGUUUAAGUGCUCAAAAGUAUUUUUUUUUUUGUCUUUGUCAAACACUUUUAAAAAUAAAAAAAAUACUUAUAAAUUAAAAAUACUUAAAAAUAAUUUAAUCCAAACACCCUCUAAAUCUAAAACAGAUAUAUUGAAUUAUUAUUUUUUAUGCAAGUAGCAAACAUGAAUAAGUUUUUUUUAUCUUUUUUUGUCAACUAAAGAAUACGAUAUGAGAUGAAAUAAUCAUGAUACGAAACUUGGAAUACCAAUAUUUAUUUAUAUUCAUAAGAAUCUUGCAUUGGAUAAUUCGUUAAUUACUUUUCAUCUUUUUAUGGGGGUAAAACUGGAAUGUAUUAAGUAAGUAAAUUAGGAGUAAUUUAUAAAGCCUUAGUCUGGCUCAAAAAUAUGCAAAUUCAGACUACUAGCCCCCACNNNNNNNNNNNNNNNUGAUCUACUGUGAGAUCUCCCAGAAUAAUUUUUCCAAAAACUACUCCAAUACUAGCUGGUGGAGUAACAAAAACAUGGAGUUUGUCAAAACAAUUUAGUUGGGAUCCCCUCUUAGCCAUCAAGUCAGCCAUUCUAUUCCGUUCCCUGUAUGUAUGAUGGACUGGUGGUCUCCCAAGCUCCUUAGUAGUAACCUCCAUUCAAAUAUAGUUGGAUCAUAAAGUAAGUUACCAUGAUAAAGCAUGUUGAUAACUUUCUUAGAGUCAAUGCAUAUUUCAAGGGGUUGGAGGUUGUGCUCCAGGGCCAGUUUUAGGCAUUCCUUCAAGGCCAACAGUUCCAUGAGGUUAUUGGUAGCAUGGAUGAAGCUUCUGCUAAAACCAAUAACCCAAUCCCCCUACCUUUCCUAAUUACACCAGCAAUUCCACCUCUAUUGGGAUUACUAACAGUUUCCAAACGCAUAUGCAAGUAUACGUGGUCUUAUCAAGUAGUAAAGUAGCCUUCAAGAAUCCAAGCAUCGAUCCCACAGAGACUUGAUUUAACAACGAUUCUAUUUUAGUUCACAAUUUAGAUUCAAUUGAUGCAAGCGUAACCAAAAAGAGAGUUUGGAAUUUGUAAAUUGUAGAAAAGUAAACAAUGCGGAAAUUAAAGAUCUUAAAACAAUCAAUAGGAGAAAACCCAAGGUUAAAGCACUUUAAACAAUCAUACUAUGUAUUGAAUUUCAUUCGUUAACUUGUUUAUCUUGGUUGUUGAUUCAUAGGGUUAGUCGCAUGAUUAUGAUUUCUCAACCUCUAAUUCUUUACCUAAGUUGAACCUUACAACUACAUCGUUGAGCAGGGAUGUAAUGGUCUACUUAAGUUCUUUAAAGCUAUCAUCCUAUGUGUGAAUCAAGUAAGCCAUCUAAGUACAUCCUUGUCCUAGGUUAUAAGUUCAAUUUUUUUUUCAUAAAAUAAUAAAAACUCAAACUUUAUUUAUUCCCAUGUUCUAUCUUCCUAUUCCCUCUCCCGAGUUCACAAGGUUGACAAUAGAUUUAUUCUAAGGGACGCAAAUCCUUAAAAUAUUUAUAACAAGAAUAAACAAAAAAAAUAAUAAUAAAAUCAAACAAACUUAAUUCAAAACAAGAGUACUCAUGUUCUUGGCUUUAAUCCCGGAUAAGGGCGUUUAGCCACGCAUAGUCAUAAUCAUAAUCACAAUAGUGUAAUUAACGAUUAAAAUAUGAAUAAACUAAAUUAAAAUAAUAAAAAACUAAAAAAGAAGUUUUAGCAGCCCAUUGAUAUCCAAAAUACAUCCAAAUAUAUAUAAAAAUGUGAUACAACAUGUAUUUAUAGUAUAGGAGUAAGCCAAGGCGGUGUUGGAAUUGAAUUGCAGCACUUUGUGAGCACGGGAAUGGGUGGGGUGUCACCCUGGCUAUAGCCCCACUCAAGGUGGGUCUGAGCCCUUACUAGAGCGCCGAUCCAUUCAAGGUUGUUCCCUGCCCAUAUCCCUACUCCAGGUGGGGUGGUGCCUUCAUAUCGCCCUGAGCCUCUGGAAGUUGCUCUCCGAAUUUUGGUUAAGUGUUGAGUCUCCCCUCUUAGUCCCUUGUCUUGUGGUGUCUUUCAAAUAGAUUUACAGCCUUAUUAACAUCAAAAUAUCAUCAUAUUCAGCUCCCAAAGCAUCCUACAAACUCACACCACACGAAUUAGGAGACAAACACAACACACUACUCAUAAUGAUGAAUCAAAACAAGAGCUAAGCUAGGCUAGUUCGCAUUGAUCUUUCACUUAUUGUUCCAGCUGUACACUCAAUAAAAUUGAACUUUGAUCACCCCCAAAAAUUUAUUACACUCAUAAUUAUGCAUUAAAAUCAUUUGGAACACAUUAAACACAAUAGAAUCCAACUGAAUCAACUAGACAAGCACCUAGCUCAAGCUAGUAAUGCUAGUUUUCCGAGUUGAACUUCUAAAUGAAUCUUUUAGGUUCAAAAUUGUUUGGACUUCACUUUGAAAAUUGUAAACACAUGAUUUAACACUGUUAUACACAUUUAUAUCAUUAUCAACCCAUAUAUUACACGAAUCAUCCUCAAAACAAGGCUAAAAAGGCUAGAAUAGUGAUGCUAGAAUACAGAAAUACACCCAACAUCACCACCCCAUGCUUAAAGACUUGUUCAUCCUCGAAUAAAUCUUCACUAUAAACAUUAUGAGAUGCAGACUCUACACUUCCAAUACAUGCAAGACACUCAAGAUAGUACUAGAAUCACUACACAGAAUGCAAGUUUCUAUACUAAGAAUAUUACAAACACGAUUGAAAGCUUAUGAACACUACUCCAAAACAUCCUAACCUCAAUAAUUGACUCACCUAAUUGGAAAACUCAUGCUUAUCGUUCAAUCAAGGACAUCAUACAAAUCACUCACAUUCAUCAAAUAUAUGACCCUCACAAUAAAAGAGUUACCCAUAAUCACUCACAAUUAUGUAAUUCAUACAUGGGUACAUAAAUCAAAUUACACUCACUCUCACAAGGAAUUCAUAAGUUACACAUAGUGAACCAUAGGUUUUACCUUAGUGUAGUGCUCCACUAAUAUUAGAGUAUCAAGUAUAGGAUCAAAUUGGUCUUUUUCGGGCUAUAAUAUAGGAUAAGGGGCGGGUAGAAACUAUUUAGGAGUAGUGACUAACCUCUCUAAUUGCUUUAAUACACUACAUUGUACAUUUAAAACCAAUCUCCAACAACCAAAUUACACUAUUUUUGUCUACCCCAUUUUUUUUAUUUUGCUCCAUCUCUUUUAAGUAUUUUCACAAACACUUGAUGGGCGUAUUGUUUAUUCCUUCAAGAUUCAAUUUUUCCUAUUUUCUACAAUCAUGGAAAUAUUUAUAACACCAUUUAUAUCACUGCCAACCACCACACAUCAAAUAUAAAAACCAGUAACUAUUACCUUGGGGCAUCAAUUUCACCUUUUUCUUCUUCAAUUUAUCAGACUCUUUACCAAAUUAAUUUUUCAUUAAACCACUUAGGAGCUUUUUGGAUCAAAUUAUGAUAUGUUAAAGAAGGUAUUAGGCUAUAUAUGAGGCUACUAAAGAAGAAGAUAAAGGCUCAAUGGGGAUUAACUAGGAUAAUGCACAAAGGGUAGGACAAAUAGAAGGCAUAAAUCAAGGCUAUCAAAGAAAUGCCUAAAUUAUCUCCUAAACCCACACUCUCUAUUUUUCUUUACACACACACCGGGCAAGUUCUAAACAUCACAUGCAACAAAGAAUAUACAAAAAUCUCACACGCACAUGGUACAUGUUCAACUCAAUAAGAUCAUCAUAAACUGUCAACCAAAUAAUAGCACAAAUUCAAAUUUAAGCUAAAAAGUACAAGAGUCACAAAAAUGAGUCUAAGAGUCUCAAAAGUAGCAAUUCACUUAUUUCGCUUGCUUUUACCAAACAAAACACUUGCACCAUGUAAUCAAAAAUAGCACCUACAAGAAUAUCUUACACAAAAAAAAUUAAAUUGAGCCAAAAUUUAGGAAUUUUCCCACCCCACACUUAAAAAUCUAUUUUGUCCCUAAAGUGAAUUUAAAAGUAAGAGAUAUAAAUACUCUCUGAGAUAUCUAGUAGCGUCUUUUGCAUUAAUGGGAUCUGCAGGACCCCACACUCUAUAUUUUUUAUGCUCCUUAGUUUAAGUUUAUGGUACUCAGACUUAUCAUUAACCUAUAAUUCAACCAAAAAACAAUAACUAUGUGAAAUAAAAAUAAAAACUAAAAAGAAAACAUACCUACUUAACUUGGGUUGCCUCUCAAGCAGAGCCUGAUUUAGUAUCGCGGCACGAUCCGGCUCACUCAACCAUAUUCCUUUACCCUUUUACUCACACUUGUUCUCCAUUUUCUUAUUCUCUUUACCCCUCUUGGGUGUGAAUUUUCAAGAGCACCAGGUUUUUCAACUUUAGCCUUUUCAGGAUCAUUAAUUUCCAUCAAAUCAGGCUUAGGAGAUAGAAGCUUAGGCAGCUCAAUCAGGUAGUCCAAAGAGGUCUUUGGUGGAUUAACCACCCCACACUUGUCCCCUUUAAUAACAUUGAUCAUACAUAAAUCUUUAUAGUGGGAUGUUAUAUUGGGUGCUUUGUAAAAGUCAAAUACCACUUCUUAUUCCUCUAUCCUUAUUUUGAGUGUGACUUCUCUAAUAUCAAUCAACGCUCUUCUGGUUGCUAAGAAUGGAUGCCCAAAUAUGAUUAAUACCUGUUCGCGUGCCUUAAAAUCAAGAAUAAUAAAGUUAGCAGUAAUAAUAAAUUUAGGCUCCUUUAUGAAGAUAUCCCCAAUUACUCCUUCCAAAUAUGCCAUGGAUCCAUCUGUGAGCUACAAAACCACAGUGAUCAAUCUAGGCUUUCCCAAGCCUAAUGUUUCAAAUAGAAAUAGGGGUAUCAAAUUUAUGCUCGCCUCUAAGUCACUCAAUGCAUGGACUACUUUACUCCCAGUUUGGAUAGGGAGAGUAAACUUUCCUGAAUCUCUCAAUUUCUUAGGGAUUUUUGUGUCAUUACAAUGUUACACUCUUCAGUGAGUGUUAUCGCUUCCACAUCCUGGAAUUUCACCUUAUUACAAACCACAUCCCUCAAGUACUUAGCGUACUUGUGCAUACCCUACAAAAUAUCUAACAAAGGUAAGUUACUAUAAAGCCCUCUGAACUUGUCAAAGAACUUCUUAAGAAUUACAUCCUCCUUCGCUUUCAUGUGCUUUUGAGGAAAGGGUAAUGGCGGCACUUGCUUCUUUUCUAGUUCAGUAACAACUGUCUCUUUCAAGUACUUAGACUUUCUUGACUUAUCAGCAGCUUUUUUAGAAACUUAUUGGGGAGUCAAAUCUAUAUCUACCUCAUUUAUUGCCUUGGGAGGUUCUUCUUAAAGCUCUUUACCAUUUCUCAAGGUAAUUGUCAUAACCUGUUUUGGAUUUUCUGUAUCUGCUGGCAAACCACCUUGUGUCCUAGUAUUUAAUACUUGUUGUAUCUGCCCAACUUGAAUCUCUAAGCUUCUCUGAGCAACUUGUGAAUUUUUCAUGUCUACAACCAAUUAUGUCUGGCUAGCUAGGAGCUGCUUCAACAUCUCUUCCAUGUUACUAGUUGACUAAUUCCCUUGUGCCUGUAGUUACUAAAUUUGUUGUGGUUGUGCAUUCCAAGACUGAUUUUUCCACUUUAUGUUGUAGGCAUUACCAUAAUUUGUCCUUUGAGUAUUACCUACAUACAUCACUGAUUCUGGAUUGGCAGCAUAUAUACCUGCUAAGUGACCACUAUUACCGUACACUUCACACCAACCUGCAGCUUGUUGGAUGGUAUUGACUAUGGCUGCAGGUUGUAGAGCUCCCAAUUUUAGGCUGUUGAACUGAGUGUUUAUCAUAUUUUGCAAUGCUACAACCUAAGUUGAUAAGGCAGCAAACUGAUCUACCUCCAAUACACCCGCAAUUCUUUUUGUGGAACUUCUCAAAUCUGAAUGUCAUUCAGGAUUUACUUGUGAUAUAUGAUUCAACAAUAUGUAUAGCUCAUCAUAAGUCAACUCUAGCAUUUGACCACUUACGGCUAAAUCUAGCAAAAUCUUUGUAUUCUGAUCAAGUGCUUCUAAAAAGUAUGAGAAAUUACCUUAUUGGAUUGUUAGUAAUGCGGACAAUCCUAAAAAAGAGCCUUGAAGCAUUCCCAAGCAUGAUAUAGAUUUUUGUCAGGAUUCUAUUUGAAGCUCACUAUCUCACUGCGAAGUCUUGCAGUCUUGCCUAAUGGAAAGAAUUUGAAAAGGAACUUUCUGGCUAAAUCUUCCCAUGAUGUAAUUGAAUUGGUUGGAUCCGCAUUCAACCACCUUUUAGCUUCCCCCAACAGUGAAUGGGAAAAAGUGUCAGACUUAUAGAAUUUGUACUCACCCUAGUUGGAAUGAAUAUGUCGGUAAGCUCAAUGAAAGUCUUCAAGUAAACUUGUGAAUCCUCGUGUGAAAGCCCUGAAAAUUGUCCACUACUAAUGAGAAGCCAUACAAUAUUGUGCUUUAACUCGAAAUUCCCCCCAACAGUCAGUCUUUGAAUUGGGGAAGUCAAGUUCAUCGGAAGUGGGACUACCACUUCCCAAACUGUCCUGUAGGUUGCUUGUUCUUUAUCCAUUGGAGCAGGAACUACUUGGUCUUCUUCUAUUUAUGGAAAUUAAAGAAGAUGGAUUGUGUCUCUUCUUCAUUGAUGGAAGUGUUGUUCAGGUUUGGGGCUUGGUUCAACCAAAUCCCUAUCCCUUGCCAGUUUUCUAACCUUAAAAUCUAUUUUCUGCAAUCACAAAACCAAGACGAAGUGUAAAAACACCAAAUAAAUCUAAAAGUAAAAACUAAAUAAACAAUUUCCAAAUAACAAGUCCCCGAUAACGACUCUAAAAAUUUGACAGUGCUCAAGCACACACGCAAGUGUAUGUGGUGUUAUCAAGUAAUAAAGUGGCCUUCAAGAAGCCAAGUAUCAAUCCCACAGAGACUUGAUUUAACAAUGAUUCUAUUUUAGUUCACAGUUUAGAUUCAAUUGAUGCAAGUGUAACCAAAAAGAGAGUUUGGAAUUUGAAUUGUAGAAGAGUAAACAAUGUGAAAAUUAAAGAUCUUAAAAUAAUCAAUAGGAGAAAACCCAUGGUUAAAGCAAUUUAAACAACUAUACUAUGUAUUGAAUUUCAUUCGUUAACUUAUUUAUCUUAGUUGUUGAUUCGUAGGGUUAGUUGCAUGAUUAUGGUUUCCCAACCUCUAAUCCUUUACCUAAGUUGAACCUUACAACUACAUUAUUGAGCGGAGAUGUAAUCGUCCACUUAAGUUCUUUAAAGCUAUCAUCCUACGUGUGAAUCAAGUAAGUCAUCUAAGUACAUCCCUGUCCUAGGUGCUAAGUUCAAUUUUUUAUUUCAUAAAAGAAUAAAAAUCCAAACUUUGUUUAUUCUCGUGUUCUAUCUUCCUAUUCCCUCUCUCGAGUUCACAAAGGUUAACAAUAGAUUUAUUCUAAGGGUCGCAAAUCCUUAAAAUAUUUAUAACAAGAAUAAACAAAAAAAUAAUAAUAAAAUCAAACAAACUUAAUUCAAAACAAGAGUACUCAUGUUCUUGGCUUUAAUCCCAGAAAAGGGCGUUUAGCCACAAUAGUCAUAAUCAUAAUCACAAGAGUGUAAUUAACGAUUAAAAACAUGAAUAAACUAAAUUAAAAUAAUAAAAACCCAAAUAAGAAGUUGUAACAUCCCAUCAAUCUCCAAAUUAUGUCCAAAGAUAUGUAAAAACAUGAUACAACAUGUAUUUAUAGUAUAGGAGUAAGCCAAGUCCGUGUUGGAAUUGAAUUGCAGCACUUUGUGAGCACGGGAAUGGAUGGGGCGUCCUCCUGGCUAUAUCCCCGCUCUAGGUGAGACUGAUCCCUAACUAGAGCACCGAUCCAUUCAAGGUUGAACCCUGCCCAUAUCCCUGCUCCAGGUGGGGCAGCGCCUCCAUAUCGCCCUGAGCCUCUAGAAGUUGCUCUCCGAAUUUUGGUUAAAUGUUGAGUCUCCCCUCUUAGUCCAUUGUCUUGUGGUGUCUUUCAAAUGGAUUUCCAGCCUUCUUAACAUCAAAAUAUCAUGAUAUUCAGGUCCCAAAGCAUCAUACAAACUCACACCACACGAAUUAGGAGACAAACACAACACACUACUCAUAACGAUGAAUCAAAACAAGAGCUAAGCUAGGCUAGUUCUCAUUGAUCUUUCACUUAUUGUUCCAGCUGUUCACUCAAUAAAAUUGAAAUUUUCUCACCACCAACAAUUUAUUCCACUCAUAAUUACACAUUAAAAUCAUUUGGAACACACUAAACACAAUAGAAUCCAACUGAAUCAACUAGACAAGCACCUAGCUCAAGCUAGUAACGCUAGUUUUCCGGGUUGAACUUCUAAAUGAAUAUUUUAGGUAAAAACUUGUUUGGAAUUUACUUUGACCAUUUUAAAAACAUGAUUUAACAUAUUGUUACACAUUCAUCUCAUUAUCAACCCAUAUAGCACACGAAUCAUCCUCAAAAGAAGGCUAAAAAGGCUAGAAUAGUGACACUAGAUUGCAUAAAUAUACCCAACAUCAAUUACCCAAAUAGGAACCAUCAGUAUUUGGUUUGAAAUGGUUAGCAUAAGGAGGUAGCCACUUAAGGUCGAUUGAGGUUUUUACGGUGAUAGGACCAGUGCUGCAAAGGUGGUGGUACUUAACUGCUUCAGUAUAAGAAAUGUUGAAGCAAGGUUCGGUAUGAGAGUUGUUAGUUAUUGGCAUUUUCAAUUUUCCAGAUAUGCCAAGGUCAGUAGGGGAGGAGCAUUUCCCAAGGUACAAAUCUAUCAAACCACUCUUUCUUGAGGAUCCCCCAGGUGCUUGUCCAGUUCAUUGUGUUGAACAUGGAGAGUUGAAGGUGGGUAUUUCCCUUAUAUUUUUUGGAUUAAUUCUAGCUAGAUUGGCUUUGUAAACCUAUAACCAAAGAAUAUAUGAUGUUGAUCUUUAGAAAUUUGGCCAACCCUAUUACAGAGGUUGGAGAUGUUGAUACCUCUUUGAGUAAGGGUGACCUUGGUAGGGAGAAUGUUAUAGUAUAAUAGCCAUAAGAAGGUUCUAAUUUUGUUGGGGACUUUCAAUCUCCAUAACUAAUUAGAGGAGGUAGGUUCCCUAAGGGUGGUGUUAGAGAGAUUUUUCAAGUGAUAGUAGGCACUCUUGCAAGAAAAGAUACCAUUACCCCUUAGUCUCCAAAGGGAGGUUACCUAUCUAAGGAGUCUGUUAGGCAGGAAUGAGUUUGGAUGCUAUAGGAGAUGUUAAGGGGAAUUUCAUAGGAAAAAUCCUAAAGUUCCAAGUCCCCUUUUUCCAAAUAUCCUUCACCAUAGAGGGAUCUUGAGGGUUCUGAUGGGGGCCAUGUAGGAUGUUGGCUAAGGGGGGCAUUCCAGGUAUCCACUUGUCCUUCCAGACAUUUACCUUGGUUCCAUCACUGAUUACCCAGAAGAUGGAAUCCUUACAGCUAUUCCAACCCCUAUGGAUGGCAUUCAAAGUAUAGUAGGUAGAAUUAUUCGAUAUACCCCCAGGCCCAUAUCUAGAAGCGGGUAUGGUGGACCACAAUAAGGAUGGAUUGGUGUACAUUCUCUAGGAAAGACUGCAUAAAAGAGAGUCAUUCUUGAUAUUUUUGUGAUGUAUGCCAAGUCAUUCCUCUCUCUUAGGCUUACUAACAGUGUUCCACUUAACCAAGUGAAUCUUCCUAUUUGUAUUAGUGGUUCCCCAGAUGAAAUUUCUCUGGGUUUUGUCAAUAAGGUGAUGGAUACUAUUGUGAAGGUGGAUGUACUGCAUGACAUGGUUUGGCAUGCUAGUAAUAAAAUAUUUGGCUAAAGUGAUCCAGCCAGCCAUGUUGAGGAAUUUUGUUUUCCAGCCAGCCAUGUUGAGGAAUUUUGUUUUCCAGCUAGCCAUCUUGUUGUUAAGGUUGUCAAGGAUAAAUUGGAAGUUCCCCCUCUCAGGUCUUUUGUGGAAAAUGGGAAAUCCCAGGUAUUUUCUAAAAGAGUUUGAGGGAUUGAUGCCUAGGGUAUAAAUGAGGAUAUUCUGGUCUUCUUUACCACAAUUCUUGGAGAAAAAGACUUUGGAUUUAGCAUUGUUAAUCUUUUGGCUAGAAUGGGAGAUAAAACUUUAGAGGAUCUUAUCAAUUGUUUGGCAGUUCUUAAGUUCAGCUUUUACAAAAAGGGUUAGGUCAUCAAAAAAGAAAAGAUGGAGAUAGAAGGGCCCCCUGGAUAUGGAGACAGGGGUCUAUUGAAGAAUGUACACUUCAGAGUUGAUUUUUCUAGAAAGAAGUUCCAUACAGAGUAUAAAGAGGUAGGGUGACAUGGGGUCACGCUGCCUGAUUCCCUUUGAAGGCAUGAAAAGAGGGAUUUCCCUCCAUUGACUAGGAUGAAAAUAUUUGAGGUGGAGAUACAGGAUAAGAUGAGUUUGGAGAGAUGCUGUGGAAAGUUAAAAAAAAAAAAAAGGGCAUGUAUGAUAAAAGACCACUCAAGUCUGUCAAAGGCUUUUUCUAAGUCAAUUUUAAGGAUAUUAGCUCUUUUUCCUUUUAGUUUUGAAAAAUGGCUAAUAUACUCCUGGACAAUAAUAGUGUUUUCAGAGGCCCUCCUUUUGGAGAGAAAAAUGGCUUGAGAUUUGCCAAUGAUAGCAGCAGAAUUUAACCAAAGGAAGUCCAAGAAUUUCCCAGUAUUUUUGGUACAUAAAAUAGUGCAUUCCAUCAGGCCUAGGGGCCUUAUUUGGUUUAAAGGAGAAAAUAGCUCUUUUAACCUCUUUUGGGCUAGGAAUCUGUGACACCCCGUAUUCAAGUACGUGUAUUGGCGUAUUUAAGUACGUGUAUUGGUCUUAUUUAUAUGGAAUUAAUUUUAUUUUAUUUUAUUUAUACCGGAAUUUGCCCGUCGAUGGUUCCAUACGAAGGUUAUUGAAUAAGAUUUCCAAUGAUAUAAAGAUUUCCAAAAACGGAUAGGAUUCAGAUAUAAUCGAUCGCGUUCAAAAUUAUAAAACGGUGGCCGGGAUAUUUAGGAAUAGUAAAUGUGCAGGAAAAUUUCCUACAUACAAACUAUUUUGGGUCAACUUCGAAUGAUCAUAACUCCCUUAAUAUAAUGAACUGGGAGAUCUUCGACCUAUGAAAAGAAAGAUCUUUGAGUCUUAUUUUCAAUGCAAUUGGUUUCAUCCAAAUACAACAUCUGAGUAAGGAGUUAUACUCGUUUUUACUUUAGCCUAUCAAAAUAGAUUUUUAGGGUCAACUUCAAAUAAUCAUAACUCCUUGUACAGGACAAACUGGGUGUCCUACUUUAUAUGAAAUGAAAGCCCUUUGAAUCAUCUUUCCAACGAUGCCAAUUUCACCCAAAUCCGAUAUCGGAGAAAAGAGUUAACGUUGAUCUACUUUAGCUUAUCAAAAUAGUCCACCAAAGAAAAGAUUUGGUAUUAUUUAAAUUUUAAAGGCAUUUUGGUUAUUUCCUACUAUAUUAUGAACGGGAAUAUGUGUAUAUAUACAUGUAUAUGAGUUCAAAAACUCAUUUUCAUCAUCAAUCAUUGAGAAAGAACAAACCCUAGCCAAAUUUGACCUUUAAAUUACUUUUGAUUCAACCGUAGAAAUUUCAAAGUAAUCUAAUAACUGCGUUUGUCAUCUCGAGAGCUUCGAACGGCACCUAUUAUUUGUGCAAACAGGAUUGCAUAAUCAAGAGGUUAAUUCUAAGGUAUGUAUAUUGUUUGCCUUGUUCUUUUCCAUAUGUAUAUGUGUGAUAAAGGAUUAUAUGUGUUGGUUGUUAUUGAAAGGUGAUGGAAAUAGGGUUAUGGACUAUUUUACAUGGUUUGGUUGUAUUGAAUUAUGGAAAUUGGAUAUGGUAAUUGGGUUAUGAAAGAUGGAUAUGGUAAUUGAGUUAUGGAAGGUGGAUAUGGUGAUAUACUAUUGAAUUGAUAAUUAUUUAUGUCUAUGGCUCAAUUUGGUUUAAUGGAUUGGUUGGAAGGAUAAAUGAAUCCAAACUUGAUAUUGGAGGAUGUUGUAUGAAUAUGCAUGGCAUGUGAAUGUAAUUGGAGUAUAAGAGGGUUAAAGUGACACCCUUUAUGGUGUAAUUAAGGCUUACUACUUAACCACUAGUUUGGUGAAUUCAAAUAAUUGAAUUGUGACGUUUGGUCGCUAAUACUAGAUUGCUAUAUAUGUUCAUUGUAGAUAAGUAAUCCGAAAAGACGAGAAGUCCAUUUGGGACUAGUAUUGAAGGUUGACAGUCAGGUAUGUAAAGCAUACUCUAUACCAUAUCUUUGGCAUGAAAGUGAACAAUUGUUCUAUUAAGAAAGUUUCCAAAGUUAUUCAAUAACAUGUGAUCCAUAAUGGUUUUGUAUGAUGUCCUACGUUACCAAUGAACUUGUUUCCACCCUACAAGAUGUCAAGACAUUCCAAUACUUACUUGUUUUCCAAAUCUUACAUGUUUAUUGAACUAAUGAAUGUCAAAAGGUAUCCGGUUACUCAAANNNNNNNNNNNNNNNNNNNNNNNNNNNNNNNNNNNNNNNNNNNNNNNNNNNNNNNNNNNNNNNNNNNNNNNNNNNNNNNNNNNNNNNNNNNNNNNNNNNNNNNNNNNNNNNNNNNNNNNNNNNNNNNNNNNNNNNNNNNNNNNNNNNNNNNNNNNNNNNNNNNNNNNNNNNNNNNNNNNNNNNNNNNNNNNNNNNNNNNNNNNNNNNNNNNNNNNNNNNNNNNNNNNNNNNNNNNNNNNNNNNNNNNNNNNNNNNNNNNNNNNNNNNNNNNNNNNNNNNNNNNNNNNNNNNNNNNNNNNNNNNNNNNNNNNNNNNNNNNNNNNNNNNNNNNNNNNNNNNNNNNNNNNNNNNNNNNNNNNNNNNNNNNNNNNNNNNNNNNNNNNNNNNNNNNNNNNNNNNNNNNNNNNNNNNNNNNNNNNNNNNNNNNNNNNNNNNNNNNNNNNNNNNNNNNNNNNNNNNNNNNNNNNNNNNNNNNNNNNNNNNNNNNNNNNNNNNNNNNNNNNNNNNNNNNNNNNNNNNNNNNNNNNNNNNNNNNNNNNNNNNNNNNNNNNNNNNNNNNNNNNNNNNNNNNNNNNNNNNNNNNNNNNNNNNNNNNNNNNNNNNNNNNNNNNNNNNNNNNNGGGGGACCUGCAUUUCAUACUGCAGGCACAGGUACCUCAGCUCAUACACCGCACAAGUAGGAGCUAGGAUAUCCAGCUGCUUUUGGUGAGCUCUAGUUUGCUUCGGGGCCUUCCGUGUCAUAUCCAGUCACUUUUGGUAUUGUAUAAAAGUUAGUUAUAUGGCGGGGUGUAUCCCGACCUUAGUUAAACUCUGUGUAUUGUCUAGAGGCUUUGUAGACCUAAUGUACAGUCAAGGUGGUGUUUUGUUAAUAGACGUGAUGGCUCCGAUGGCCAAGUAUUGUAUAUACAUAUAUAUAUGUGAUCGAGCUUAUACAGGUGAUUAUUUCCUUUUAUAUACGACAUGAUGCUGUCCGAAUUUUGGGUUGUCAUAGAGGUAUGCAUGGGAAGUAUAAGGUUAUGAGCUGGUUCUCCC